UUGCUUCAGCAGUACAUGUGCUAAAAUUGGAAUAACACAGAGAAGAUUAACGUGGCCCCUGCAAAAGAUGACAUGCAAAUUUGUGAAGUGUUCCAUAUUUUU
This is a small nuclear RNA of Heterocephalus glaber (naked mole-rat), 102 nucleotides long. Lineage: Eukaryota; Metazoa; Chordata; Mammalia; Rodentia; Bathyergidae. The record is from Ensembl.